AAAAUCUGCUGUCGAGAUUAGGGGCUGAGAGCGGAAACUUAGAAGUUGCAUGUACGACGUCUGCCGGUGUUCAUCUCAUGAUUAUGUCAACAUUGCAGACCUUCAGCAGACCUUCAUAUCUUUUCUGCAUAUAAUAUCAAAGUUGAUUGAUGAAGUCUAAGAAACUCCAUAAAAAGGAUCAGAUGUUGAUUACAUCAUCAUCGGACUAUGCACAGUGUCAGAAGAAACAGAAUAAUGUGCAGCAGAAAUCCAGUCCUGACUGUGGAACAUCUACAUCAGGAUUAGCCAAAAUGUCUGGCCUAAACACAAACAAGCAGCCGAAUUUCUCCUCUGCUGCUUUUAAAGUUCUUUUUUUCACAUCAGUCAGUCUCUUGCCUAUUAUGCUGAUCCAUCAUGAAGUGGGAGGAGACUGGAUAGCCUUUUUCAAAACGGAAUGGUUGGUGAAGGGAAUAAAAAAAUUUGUGGAACCCCUAGAGUUCACCAAACACCUGGCAUGGCACAACAAGGAGCUUGUAAAGCACUUAGAGUGGCAUGACAAUGUGCAGCAUGUUGUGGUUUUUGAUGCAGGUAGCACAGGGACACGUUUGCAUGUCUACCUUUUCACACCCACGAAGGAUGGAGGAGGUGGUGUAGAAAUGGUCAGCGAAGUGUUUCAGAAGAUAUCACCAGGAAUAUCGAACUAUGCACAUAACCCAGGAGCUGUGGCAGUACAACUGCAGAGUUUGGUGGAUGUGGCAAUGGAAGUUGUGCCAGGAGAUCUGCAUGUGGUCACUCCCUUAAUAUUUAAAGCAACAGCAGGAUUACGACUUCUGGCACCUGAAACACAAAACAGCCUUUUGAAGUCUGUACGAGAGCUGCUCAUCUCCUCUACCAACUUUGUCUUCAGUCCUUUAGAUGUAAAUGUCAUGAAUGGUGUGGAUGAAGGCUUGUUUGGAUGGAUCACAAUCAACUUCUUGCUUGGAAACUUACAGCAGAAUAAGAAGACUGUAGCGGCCAUUGAUUGUGGUGGAGGAUCAGUACAAGUCACUUACAGAGUUCAGCCAGGGGAUUUUUCAUCUUUGAAAGAUGUGGAACAGGUUCAGAUCUUUGAUCUUGACUACAGCCUUUACACUCACAGUUACCUUGGUCAAGGUCUGAAGUCUGCUCGCAUUGCAGUGCUGCAUGCUGUGCCAGAUGGAAGCCUCCUCAGCUAUUGUCUGCCAACAGGCUAUGUAGGCAAGCUGGUCUAUGAUGAUGAAACAGAGUUCACUGUGAGCAGACUCUGCACCAGUUUUCUUCAGACAGUCUUCUUUGCAGAGGGCCAAAUGCCAGUGUUCCAGAAGGCUGUUGGGAACAAGUUGGUGACUUUGUUAAGCGGAGUGGUUUUUCCCCACAGCCAUCUUUGAUGAAAGAAGAUAUCUAUCUUUUUGCCUUCUUCUUUGAUGUGGCACGGGAUGCAGGCUUAAUAGGACAAGAUCAACAUGAAGUCAUACUGACAUCUCAAGACUACCUUGAUGCAAGUAUAAGAGUGUGUGGAGCCCCAGAACAGAGCAACCCAUUUUUAUGUCAGGAUUUAACCUACAUCGCUCUAAUGCUGCACGAAGGUCUGAA
This 1590-nucleotide unclassified non-coding RNA is filed under the name Pomacea canaliculata. Its description in RNAcentral is "ectonucleoside triphosphate diphosphohydrolase 5- like, transcript variant X3". The record is from RNAcentral. Lineage: Eukaryota; Metazoa; Mollusca; Gastropoda; Architaenioglossa; Ampullariidae.